CGUGUAGGCGGGCAUUUAAGUCAGGUGUGAAAGACCGGGGCUCAACUCCGGGAUUGCAUUUGAAACUGGGAUAUCUUGAGGGCAGGAGAGGAAAGCGGAAUUCCUGGUGUAGCGGUGAAAUCCUUAGAUAUUGGCAGGAACGCCGGUGACGAAGGUGGUUUUCUGGGCCGGUUCUGACACUGAUGCUCGAAAGCCAGGGGAGCGAACG
Molecule: ribosomal RNA, 208 nt
Filed under: uncultured bacterium
Lineage: Bacteria
Description: partial 16S ribosomal RNA
Rfam family: Bacterial small subunit ribosomal RNA
Source: RNAcentral